This 515-nucleotide ribosomal RNA is filed under the name uncultured bacterium. Its description in RNAcentral is "partial 16S ribosomal RNA". It matches the Rfam family "Bacterial small subunit ribosomal RNA", at positions 28 to 523 of the family's 1533-position model. The record is from RNAcentral.
GAUGAACGCUGGCGGCGUGCCUAAUACAUGCAAGUCGAGCGAAUGGAUUAAGAGCUUGCUCUUAUGAAGUUAGCGGCGGACGGGUGAGUAACACGUGGGUAACCUGCCCAUAAGACUGGGAUAACUCCGGGAAACCGGGGCUAAUACCGGAUAACAUUUUGAACCGCAUGGUUCGAAAUUGAAAGGCGGCUUCGGCUGUCACUUAUGGAUGGACCCGCGUCGCAUUAGCUAGUUGGUGCGGUAACGGCUCACCAAGGCAACGAUGCGUAGCCGACAUGAGAGUGGGAUCGGCCACACUGGGACUGAGACACGGCCCAGACUCCUCCGGGAGCCAGCAGUAGGGAAGCUUCCGCAAUGGACGAAAGGCUGACGGAGCAACGCCGCGUGAGUGAUGAAGGCUUUCGGGUCGUAAAACUCUGUUGUUAGGGAAGAACAAGUGCUAGUUGAAUAAGCUGGCACCUUGACGGUACCUAACCAGAAAGCCACGGCUAACUACGUGCCAGCAGCCGCCGUAA